AACAGGUGCAGAGAGGGGCGUGCUGCAGGUGGAGAGGAGAGAGACGGAGGAAGGGGAAAGAAAAUGAAGAUGGCCGGUCAGGGGAAGGUCGGCUAAGGCAGCGACUUGAGACUCCACCGAGCGUCCCGAGCCCGAGCCCGAGGGAGCCCCAGACGUGUGACAGCAUCAAGCUGGUCCUGCUGCUUCCACACUGGGCUCCUCCCACUGCUCCCACCCCAGGCCGGGGUCUGCAGGGCUCUGCCCCGCGCCCCAGGCCUUAGCAAACAUCCGAGGGAGAAGUGGCAUCACGCACUGGGGCUUCAUGAGGGCAGCGGCCCCCAGAGCCCAGCCUGGUACCUGGCAUGGCCCUGUGAGAACAGGCUGGAAAGUGAGGCCAUUGCAGAACCGCUGCUUCCGUCGCCUGUGC
Molecule: long non-coding RNA, 406 nt
Filed under: Heterocephalus glaber (naked mole-rat)
Lineage: Eukaryota; Metazoa; Chordata; Mammalia; Rodentia; Bathyergidae
Description: lncRNA (ENSHGLG00100036936.1)
Source: RNAcentral